Molecule: non-coding RNA, 45 nt
Organism: Schistosoma haematobium
Lineage: Eukaryota; Metazoa; Platyhelminthes; Trematoda; Strigeidida; Schistosomatidae
Source: Rfam
AUCCAGCUGACGAUUCCUAUAUAGAACGGAACGCGCGUCCUGGAU